This 465-nucleotide ribosomal RNA is filed under the name uncultured bacterium. RNAcentral describes it as "partial 16S ribosomal RNA". It matches the Rfam family "Bacterial small subunit ribosomal RNA", at positions 28 to 507 of the family's 1533-position model. The record is from RNAcentral.
GACGAACGCUGGCGGCGUGCUUAACACAUGCAAGUCGAACGGAAAGGCCCUGCUUGCAGGGUAAUCGAGUGGCGAACGGGUGAGUAACACGUGGGUGAUCUGCCCUGCACUUCGGGAUAAGCCUGGGAAACUGGGUCUAAUACCGGAUAUGACCUUCCAUGUAGUGUGGGGGGUGGAAAGAUUUAUCGGUGUGGGAUGAGCCCGCGGCCUAUCAGCUUGUUGGUGGGGUAAUGGCCUACCAAGGCGUCGACGGGUAGCCGGCCUGAGAGGGUGGACGGCCACAUUGGGACUGAGAUACGGCCCAGACUCCUACGGGAGGCAGCAGUGGGGAAUAUUGCACAAUGGGCGGAAGCCUGAUGCAGCGACGCCGCGUGGGGGAUGACGGCCUUCGGGUUGUAAACCUCUUUCGACAGGGACGAAGCUUCGGUGACGGUACCUGUAUAAGAAGCACCGGCUAACUACGUG